This is a long non-coding RNA of Leopardus geoffroyi (Geoffroy's cat), 1990 nucleotides long. RefSeq lists it as uncharacterized. NCBI's taxonomy places the organism in Eukaryota, Metazoa, Chordata, Mammalia, Carnivora, Felidae. The transcript is spliced from 2 exons. The record is from RefSeq and is a predicted model, not a curated record.
CGGGGGAGGGAAAAAAGAGCACUAAUUAGUUUGAAAACCAGUUUAUCUUUCUACAGUUAGAUAAGGAGAAAAAUGAAGAACCCCCUGCUAGUGGGGAAAGGCAAGCAUUAUCUAGAGUCUAGCACGUGAAUAAUAUACUCGGUUAUCGCGCAUUGCCAUCGGUUUUCCACGGCAGAGGAUACAGCAGACUUGGAAAGGUGCAUGCUUAAAGCCAGGUUAGUCUUACAUUCCAUAACUAUGCUGUUUGUGGGGCUGUUGUGGCUAAAGUAGUUGGCUAUGCCCAAAUGGGCGUUGACCUGUUCCCACAAAUCUUUAUCCCAGUCUUCAUGGCCAGGAAGGCAUUGCCAUGUGCUCUCAGCCAAUCUCUUGUCCUAGGUUCCUGGUUUGGUUGACAGCAACCCCCUCAACACAACUUUUGUCAUCACGGCUUGCGCUAUAAUGACUGGUUUCAGUCCAAGGAACCCGGUGGUGAGCAUCAAAGGGCCAAGUGGCCUACUUACUUUCAACAGUAGUACGGUUGGUAAGCUCUGCCACGUCGGAAAAAGAGCCCAUCUAAGCGCUCGGUGGAGACAGAGAUGCCCUCACCCCACAUCUGGGCACCAGCAACAAUCACUUCCGGCCCCUGAUGCUGGGGAAUGAGGCCCCCACUUCCUGUGCCAGGCAGGUGGGUUCUGGCUAGAGCCAGAGGCUGGGAGCUGAGUGGUGAGCCUCGUGGGCCCGCCAUAUCCAGGGGUCCCCCUCUCUGGCCCAUCCUCCUCAAGGGCCCCCUUCCUCGGGCCCAACCUAUUCUGGACCCCCCGCCCCCCCCCCCCCCCCCCCCCAGCAUGAUGGUGGCCCCGCAUGGCCGGGACGCCAGCCGCCUUCCUUGUGCUCCGUGGCGGCCAUCUUAGGGAAGAGAAGGAGUGCCCGAAAAUGGGCGCAAGGAGACCCGGGAGGGGUGAGAGGUCAGCUGCUGGUUGGGAAGAAGCUUUGUUUUGUGGAAGUUGUCGGCCUGGAAGGGCCGACUUUUGAUUUUGAGGGUAGAGGAGGGGAGUACUGAAAAGGAGAGGAGCAGGCAGAAGAGCCUUUAUCACCAAGGACAGGACUGCAGUGUGGAAUCUCCCAGGUCGAUAACAGUAGCUAAGAAUGCUUGGUAGGAUGGAAGCCCAAGUCAGACCAAAGGGAGUCUCAGAGGUGAGGAGAGGGCUCAAUGAAAAGAGUUGGAGAGGAAAAGUGGACCAGAAAGUUAUAGUGGAUUGUGGAAAACCAGGCAUACUUUGUGAUGGUCAGACGAUAAAUUCCUAUUAGGAAGACAUCAGUGGGGCCCAAAGUGACCUGAGAAGGCAUUAAUGGAGGAAAGGGACUUGUGACUUUUGAAGAUUAGACAGGAAAAAAAAAAAAAAAAAAAAAAAGGAAGGUGUGGAUACUACAGGUAAAGCCAGUGAUUAAUACGUUUCCAAACCGAGGAGUAAACAGGGGAUAUGACAGAAAUUUUUGGACUGUCCAAGGUAUAGGAGGCAGUCUCGGGGAUCAGUCGGAGUGCUGACAUGCUGGGGUUCGGUGAACAUUCCAGGGGUCUAUAGAACUUAAAUCUAACCUAAUUAGGAGAACCUACCCUCACGAUUGGAGUCUGGCAGUAGGUGGGAAACCACUGCAGAGCUUUAAGUAGGGGUAGUGAUGUCAUCAUUUUACUUUAAAAGAUUGUUCUGGCUCCAGUGUAGAGGACAGAUAGAAGGGGCAAAACAGGCACACCGGGCCAGUUAGAGGCUGUGCCUCCCUGUAGAGGGGCCCGUAGAGAGAGGAGCCAGAGUUAGCAUCAGCUUGCCAGCCUGGAAGUGGGCCUUCCACCCCCGGGAAGUCAUCCUGGGUGAUGCCACCUAGAGCAAGGACAAGCGUCCCUGCCCAGCCCCAUCCAAACGGCAGAGUCGUGAGCAAAACAAAUGCCUACUUUAUCAUUUUCAGUCCGGGGCUGGUUUCUCACACAGCAAUAGGAAGCUGUUAACAGAUGACU